This 276-nucleotide non-coding RNA is filed under the name Blautia sp. RNAcentral's name for it is "T-box sequence". It matches the Rfam family "T-box leader". From Rfam's summary of the family: Uncharged tRNA acts as the effector for transcription antitermination of genes in the T-box leader family. T-boxes are found upstream of many aminoacyl-tRNA synthetase genes and some amino acid biosynthetic genes usually in Gram-positive bacteria. The anticodon of a specific tRNA base pairs to a specifier sequence within the T-box motif, and the NCCA acceptor tail of the tRNA base pairs to a conserved bulge in the T-box antiterminator hairpin. Lineage: Bacteria; Bacillati; Bacillota; Clostridia; Lachnospirales; Lachnospiraceae. The record is from RNAcentral.
AAAAAGGUAGUGACAAAGAGGAGUAGAUAUUGUACCCCGCAAAGAGAGGGAACUUCGUGGCUGUGAGAGAUCCCCGGCAGACAAUAUCGAAGGUAGCUUUGGAACCGGAAGACUGAACGUUUUUGAUUGUAACUGUGAAGAUGCUGAACAGUUACCGUUUUCAGACAGAAAAUCAGUAAGCUUUCACGGCUGAUCCCCGUUAUCGGAUAAUGAGAUGUAUGGAACGCUUGUUGUUUCAUAUAAGCAAGGUGGUAACGCGAGACAUUCGCCCUUCAC